CCUAAACUAUCAUAUAAAUAACUUUAAUAUAAAAAUAAUAUAUAAAUACUCCUCAUAUACUAACUAAUAAUACCGCAAGGGAAAAUAAAAUAUAUCAUAGUAGCUAUAAAUAAGCAUACCUUGUGCAUAAUGGUUUUACAAGAACAAAUUUUAUAAUCUACUCCCGAAUUCUUAAUGAGCUGAUUUUUUAAUGUAAAGAACCAAUUACUAGUUGUGUCAAAAACUUUAAAAUAUAAAAAAAUCAGAGGCUACAUACCAACCGCAUAAGAAAAUCUCUGGUUUCCAUUUAAUUUUAUUUAUUAAAUCAACUUACUAAGUAUGUUAUAUAAUAGAGGAUAAGCCCUAUUAUUCAAUCAAUAAAUAUUAUCUCAUAAAAUAGAUAGGCCUAAAAUCAGCCAUUCAUAAGUACGUCACAGUAAAUUUAAUAAACUAAUUAAUAUAAAAAAAUGAAGCAUAUAAAUGGAUAAGCAUACAAACUUAAUAUGUUAUAACUCUGUAAAAACAAAUAUUUAUUAAAUUAUACUAUACAUAAAAUAUCAAAUUAAUAUAACAAAUAGUAAAACUUUUAUUAAGAAACUCGGCAAAUCUCUAUUUCGACUGUUUACCAAAAACAUUGCUUCUUGAAAAUAAUAAGAAGUAAUCCCUGCCCAGUGAUUUUUCAACGGCCGCGGUAUCCUAACCGUGCAAAGGUAGCAUAAUAAUUUGCCCAUUAAUUGUGGGCUAGAAUGAACGGGGUAACGAAAUAAGCUCUGUCUCAAUAAAAAACAUAAAAACUAAUAUCCAAGUGAAGAAGCUUAGAUAAAAUUAAAGGACAAGAAGACCCUAUAGAGCUUUAUCUUACAAUGUUUAUACAAUCCUAAGAUUAGGUUGGGGCGACCAUGGAUAAAUCAUCCAAAAAAUAAAAGACUAACUAGUCAAUUCACAGAUCCUUUUAAGAUCACAGAAUUAAGCUACCUUAGGGAUAACAGGCUAAUCCUAUUAAAGAGCUCUUAUCGACAAUAGGGAUUGGCACCUCGAUGUUGGCUUAGAAUAUCUUUAUGGCGCAGAAGUCAUAAAUAGAGGGUUUGUUCAACCCAUAAUAUUCUACAUGAGCUGAGUUCAGACCGGCGUAAGCCAGGUUAGUUUCUAUCCUUGAUAUAAAAUAAAUUUAUAGUACGAAAGGACCUAAAUCUUAUAUGACUAUAUAUAUAAAAAAAAAAAUAUAAUAAAUCAUAAACUAAAAUCAUUAUACACUA
RNAcentral lists this ribosomal RNA (1235 nucleotides) under Mesenchytraeus cf. pedatus SL-2017. RNAcentral's name for it is "partial 16S large subunit ribosomal RNA". The stretch from base 804 to 1136 matches the Rfam family "Bacterial large subunit ribosomal RNA", at positions 2072 to 2648 of the family's 2925-position model. Lineage: Eukaryota; Metazoa; Annelida; Clitellata; Enchytraeida; Enchytraeidae. The record is from RNAcentral.